RNAcentral lists this ribosomal RNA (497 nucleotides) under uncultured bacterium. Its description in RNAcentral is "partial 16S ribosomal RNA". It matches the Rfam family "Bacterial small subunit ribosomal RNA", at positions 28 to 507 of the family's 1533-position model. The record is from RNAcentral.
GAUGAACGCUGGCGGCGUGCCUAAUACAUGCAAGUCGAGCGAACAGAUGAGGAGCUUGCUCCUCUGACGUUAGCGGCGGACGGGUGAGUAACACGUGGAUAACCUACCUAUAAGACUGGGAUAACUUCGGGAAACCGGAGCUAAUACCGGAUAAUAUAUUGAACCGCAUGGUUCAAUAGUGAAAGACGGUUUUGCUGUCACUUAUAGAUGGAUCCGCGCCGCAUUAGCUAGUUGGUAAGGUAACGGCUUACCAAGGCAACGAUGCGUAGCCGACCUGAGAGGGUGAUCGGCCACACUGGAACUGAGACACGGUCCAGACUCCUACGGGAGGCAGCAGUAGGGAAUCUUCCGCAAUGGGCGAAAGCCUGGCGGAGCAACGCCGCGUGAGUGAUGAAGGUCUUCGGAUCGUAAAACUCUGUUAUUAGGGAAGAACAAAUGUGUAAGUAACUAUGCACGUCUUGACGGUACCUAAUCAGAAAGCUACGGCUAACUACGUG